RNAcentral lists this ribosomal RNA (462 nucleotides) under uncultured bacterium. RNAcentral's name for it is "partial 16S ribosomal RNA". It matches the Rfam family "Bacterial small subunit ribosomal RNA", at positions 28 to 507 of the family's 1533-position model. The record is from RNAcentral.
GACGAACGCUGGCGGCGUGCUUAACACAUGCAAGUCGAACGGAAAGGCCCUUCGGGGUACUCGAGUGGCGAACGGGUGAGUAACACGUGGGUGAUCUGCCCUGCACUUUGGGAUAAGCCUGGGAAACUGGGUCUAAUACCGAAUAGGACCACGCGCUUCAUGGUGUGUGGUGGAAAGCUUUUGCGGUGUGAGAUGGGCGCGCGGCCUAUCAGCUUGUUGGUGGGGUAAUGGCCCACCAAGGCGACGACGGGUAGCCGGCCUGAGAGGGUGAGCGGCCACACUGGGACUGAGAUACGGCCCAGACUCCUACGGGAGGCAGCAGUGGGGAAUAUUGCACAAUGGGCGCAAGCCUGAUGCAGCGACGCCGCGUGAGGGAUGACGGCCUUCGGGUUGUAAACCUCUUUCAAUUGGGACGAAGCGAAAGUGACGGUACCUAUAGAAGAAGCACCGGCCAACUACGUG